RNAcentral lists this ribosomal RNA (361 nucleotides) under uncultured bacterium. Its description in RNAcentral is "bacterial SSU rRNA". It matches the Rfam family "Bacterial small subunit ribosomal RNA", at positions 29 to 417 of the family's 1533-position model. The record is from RNAcentral.
AACGAACGCUGGCGGCAGGCCUAACACAUGCAAGUCGAACGCCCCGCAAGGGGAGUGGCAGACGGGUGAGUAACGCGUGGGAAUCUGCCCAAUGGUACGGAACAACCAAGGGAAACUUUGGUCUAAUACCGUAUGUGCCCGAACGGGAAAGGAUUAUCGCCAUUGGAUGAGCCCGCGUCGGAUUAGCUAGUUGGUAGGGUAAUGGCCUACCAAGGCAACGAUCCGUAGCUGGUCUGAGAGGACGACCAGCCACACUGGGACUGAGACACCGGCCCAGACUCCUACGGGAGGGCAGCAGUGGGGAAUAUUGGUCGAUGGGCGCAAGCCUGAACCAGCCAUGCCGCGUGAGUGAUGAAGGCCC